Molecule: ribosomal RNA, 253 nt
Filed under: uncultured bacterium
Lineage: Bacteria
Description: partial 16S ribosomal RNA
Rfam family: Bacterial small subunit ribosomal RNA
Source: RNAcentral
UACGGGGGGUGCGAGCGUUGUCCGGAAUCACUGGGCGUAAAGGGCGCGUAGGUGGUUUGAUAAGGGUGUGGUGAAAGCCCGGGGCUCAACCCCGGGUCUGCCGUGCCGACUGUCAAACUCGAGGGCUGUAGAGGCAGACGGAAUUCCGGGUGUAGCGGUGGAAUGCGUAGAGAUCCGGAGGAAGACCGGUGGCGAAGGCGGUCUGCUGGGCAGUUUCUGACGCUGAGGCGCGAAAGCCAGGGGAGCAAACGGG